RNAcentral lists this ribosomal RNA (634 nucleotides) under Bacillus sp. (in: firmicutes). RNAcentral describes it as "bacterial SSU rRNA". It matches the Rfam family "Bacterial small subunit ribosomal RNA", at positions 48 to 663 of the family's 1533-position model. The record is from RNAcentral. Lineage: Bacteria; Bacillati; Bacillota; Bacilli; Caryophanales; Bacillaceae.
CUAAUACAUGCAAGUCGAGCGGAUUGAUGGGAGCUUGCUCCCUGAAAUCAGCGGCGGACGGGUGAGUAACACGUGGGUAACCUGCCUGUAAGACUGGGAUAACUCCGGGAAACCGGGGCUAAUACCGGAUAGUUCUUUUCCUCGCAUGAGGAAAAGUGGAAAGGCGGCUUCGGCUGCCACUUACAGAUGGACCCGCGGCGCAUUAGCUAGUUGGUGAGGUAACGGCUCACCAAGGCAACGAUGCGUAGCCGACCUGAGAGGGUGAUCGGCCACACUGGGACUGAGACACGGCCCAGACUCCUACGGGAGGCAGCAGUAGGGAAUCUUCCGCAAUGGACGAAAGUCUGACGGAGCAACGCCGCGUGAGUGAUGAAGGUUUUCGGAUCGUAAAGCUCUGUUGUUAGGGAAGAACAAGUGCCGUUCGAAUAGGGCGGCACCUUGACGGUACCUAACCAGAAAGCCACGGCUAACUACGUGCCAGCAGCCGCGGUAAUACGUAGGUGGCAAGCGUUGUCCGGAAUUAUUGGGCGUAAAGCGCGCGCAGGCGGUCUCUUAAGUCUGAUGUGAAAGCCCACGGCUCAACCCGUGGAGGGUCAUUGGAGACUGGGGGACUUGAGUACAGAAGAGGAAGAGU